Molecule: RNA transcript, 2807 nt
Organism: Synchiropus splendidus (mandarinfish)
Lineage: Eukaryota; Metazoa; Chordata; Actinopteri; Syngnathiformes; Callionymidae
Gene: sugct
Gene name: succinyl-CoA:glutarate-CoA transferase
Exons: 13
Source: RefSeq, a predicted model, not a curated record
GAGCAGGAACCAGACGCCGGCUGUGAGCGGUGACGCGCGUCCGGGGUCCAGGUGGGCCACAGCCGUGACGUCACAUGUGCGGUAGAAGGGGGGCGGGGGGUGAACCUGUCCACACAGGUUUGGAUGAAAAAAGCAAAGUGGGCUCAUUUGGCAGCUGGGGGUCAAAGGUCAUCCCCGCAAGUUUGGUGCUCACGAGGCGUCGUGACGUCAGCGCUCUCUUGUGACUCGACAGGUGAGGCGCUGCGGCCACUGGAGGGCGUCCGAGUGCUGGACCUGAGCAGGGUUUUGGCGGGUCCGUUUGCCACCAUGAUCCUGGGGGACCUGGGAGCUGAGGUCAUCAAGGUGGAGCGUCCAGGUACAGGUGAUGACACCAGAGCGUGGGGUCCACCGUUCCUGGGCUCAGAGAGCGUCUACUUCCUCAGCGUCAACAGGAACAAGAAGAGCAUCGCCGUGGACCUGAAGAACCCCAGAGGAGCCCGGCUGGUGCAGCAGCUGGCUGCAGAGUGUGACGUGCUGGUGGAGAACUUCCUCCCGGGGAAGCUGUCCCACCUGGGCCUGGGCUUCCAGCAGCUCCUGCACUCCAACCCCUCCCUCAUCUACUGCUCCAUCUCAGGCUACGGUCAGAGCGGCCCGUGGGCCCAGUCGCCGGGUUACGACUCCAUCGCCUCUGCCGUGUCGGGGAUGAUGUUCAUCACUGGACCUGAGGGCGGCGAGCCCGUGCGCCCUGGCGUGGCCAUGACAGACCUGGCCACCGGGCUGUUCGCCCACGGCAGCAUCAUGGCGGCGCUGCUGCAGCGCCACAGGAGCGGCGGCGGCGGCGGCGGCGUCCACAUCGACUGCAACCUGCUGUCGUCUCAGGUUUCCUGUCUGAGCCACAUCGCGGCAAACUUCCUGAACGCCGGGAAGGAGGCGCAGCGCUGGGGCUCGGCCCACGAGAGCAUCGUACCCUACCAGAGCUUCCCCACCAGAGACGGACACCUGGUGGUCGCUGCGGGGAAUGACAAGCAGUUUGUCCGGCUGUGCCAAGUUCUGCAGAUGGAAGAUCUGUCCCGGGACCCCGACUACACCAGCAACCACCUGAGGGUGGCCAAUAGGAAGGAGCUGAUCCGGACCCUGACGCAGAGGUUUGUGCAGCAGACCACAGCCGAGUGGAUCCGCGCUUUCCAAGGCUCCGGAGUUUCUGUCGGACCAAUCAACAGCAUGCAGCAGGUGUUUUCACACCCACAGGUACGUCUGCCUCUCUGUGACCUGUAAUACCUGGGUCCCAGUCUGGUCCAGGUGAGCCGUGUGUUCAGGGGGAGUGGCCGGGGAAAGGGCCAUGGCCAGGAGAGGAGGUCCUCACACUGUCCCCACCAGGAUAGGAAAACCAAGGCGUGUGUGUGGCAGCGCCUCCUCCAUAUGGAUGGAGUCAUGGUCACUGUCACGGCUGUGUGUUUGUGAGUGAGUCACGUCUGUCGCGUCUUCACAUCGCAGCUCGUGUGAGCCUUCUGUGAGGGCGGCGCCACGCGGCCACUCUGUCUCCAGACAGAGCUCCCAGACGUGAACACAAGCCACUCGGACCUGAUCCCCGCUGGAGACCUGCGCUCUGACUCGGGGAACUCUCCGCGGGGGGUGAGCUUCUGGCCUCAGGCGACUGGGCGUUAGACGCUGGAAACAAGGUGUCCAGCGUGACUCCACACCAACAUGAUAGGUGCCGGGCAGUCAAGGGUCUGAUGGCUGUCUGGGCGCACGACAUGCUUCAGAACCAACUUCUCCGACUCCCACAACACUGAGGUGAGCAGCUUCAGCUGCAGGAGACUGGUGCUGGGGAACAGGAGCACAGUGCUCCGGGACUGGAGGUGUGUGCUGGGGUUUGAUAGCUCAGGUGUUUUCUCCUUUAUUAGGCUGAUCAACACCUGAUGUUACUGACAGACAGAGUUGCUUCAGUGGAUCACGCUGCGCUCUACAGUCACUGUUCUCACUGCUGUGAUCUGCAGCUGUCACUGCAUGAGGAGGACAGUGAGGAGGAAAGGUUUUCUGAAGACCACCAGACCAUUCAUGGAUCAUCUCUGACGUCUGGAUCUGGACUGACACCUUCUCCAUCCUCAGUCAUCUCUCUCACUGUGCUCAAGGUGUGGUGAGAGCAGCGUGGACCCAUCCAGACGCGCCGCAUUACGCAGCUAGUUUCUGCUGUUUCCUCGUAAAACCAACAUGACCAGACUCUUUCAUGUUUAGUUUUGGCUGUGAGACGCCACAUUCUGUUCCCGCCGCGGCUCAGCUCCGUCACCCGUUCAGUUCUGAGGUGACCACGACUCAUCAUGUGUGACAGAGAAAUGAGGAGGUCAAGGCCAUGGUGGUAAACAGGUGGUUGUUGAUGACAGACUCGGAGCGACCUGAGACAGAGCCUGUAGUGUGAUCAGCCCCUGGGUCUGACGUGGCUCCAGAUGAUGCUCUGGUCCUGGUCCCAGUCAGGUGACAGGCGCUCGGCUCUUUUCACAGACGGAAUGUGUUCGCAUACUUUCCCAUGGGGAGGGUGCCAUGAUGGGGGCGGGGUCUCCAGAACAACAGCUUCUAUUUUUAGCAGUGGGAUGUGAAAAACAAAACUAGGAUCCCAGCUUGUUUUUCUCCCUUGAUCUGAUGACCUGUGACACACGCGCGGGCUUGUAUCUCUGCCCUUGUGGGGACUCUCGAACCUGGUGCAGCACAACCAGCUGAUCCAGCAGAUGGAGCAUCCCACCGCCGGCGCCAUCCGCGUCCCAGGUCCGGCCGUGCGCUACGGCGGCGCUCCGCCGGCCGAGCCGACGCCCCCUCCUCUGAUUGGCCAACAC